Non-coding RNA from Mycena vulgaris, 87 nucleotides. The record is from the annotation of a GenBank genome assembly. NCBI's taxonomy places the organism in Eukaryota, Fungi, Basidiomycota, Agaricomycetes, Agaricales, Mycenaceae.
UCAGACAUGGUGUAGUGGGAACGCGGCUUUCUAUUCUCAUAAAGUUAGCACGAGAGGCAGUCCAGGGUUCGAUUCCCUGUGUCUGAA